UUGAAAGGGAAACGAUUGAAGUCAGUCGUACCAGCGGGAAAUCAACCUUUCGAGUGGGGUUUUGGAGUUUUGAAGAGUGUCAAAACCUUUUGAGAUUUCAAAAUAUUCGCUCUUUUGGUGUACUUUCUCGUGGGUAGGUUAACAUCGAUUUUGAUCAUCAUAAAAAGAUUGGAGGAAUGUAGCUUCGAUCUUGUAUUGAAGUGUUAUAGCCUUUGGUAAAUGUGAUGAUUAGGAUCGAGGAUUGCAACGAAUACCCUUUUGGGCUAUCCGCCUGAUCUCUGAUACGUGGCCUUGGUAUCGAAAGCGUGCUUAUGGUAUUGAGGUAUUACGGUCAAAAGGUUAGAACGGAUUACAUUCGUUAAGGAUGUUGACGUA
Molecule: ribosomal RNA, 375 nt
Filed under: uncultured Glomeromycotina
Lineage: Eukaryota; Fungi; Glomeromycota
Description: LSU rRNA
Source: RNAcentral